Molecule: unclassified non-coding RNA, 405 nt
Filed under: soil metagenome
Description: partial contains 5.8S ribosomal RNA, internal transcribed spacer 2, and large subunit ribosomal RNA
Rfam family: 5.8S ribosomal RNA (bases 1-121)
Source: RNAcentral
GAUGAAGAACGUAGCGAAAUGCGAUAAGUAAUGUGAAUUGCAGAAUUCAGUGAAUCAUCGAAUCUUUGAACGCACCUUGCGCCCUUUGGCCAUUCCGAAGGGCAUGCCUGUUUGAGUAUCAUGAACACCUCAACUCUUUAUGGUUUUCCAUGAUGAGCUUGGACUCUGGGGGUUUUGCUGGCUCACAGUCGGCUCCUCUAAAAUGAAUCAGCUUACCAGUGUUUGGUGGGUAUCAUGGGUGUGAUAACUAUCUACGCUUGUGGUUUUUCCACCAGGUAACCUUCAGCAGUGGAGGUUCGCCGGAGCUCAUAGAUGUCUCUCCUCAGUGAGGACAGCCCUUUGAAUGUUUGAUCUCAAAUCAGGUAGGACUACCCGCUGAACUUAAGCAUAUCAAUAAGCGGAGGA